This 253-nucleotide ribosomal RNA is filed under the name uncultured bacterium. Its description in RNAcentral is "partial 16S ribosomal RNA". It matches the Rfam family "Bacterial small subunit ribosomal RNA", at positions 524 to 776 of the family's 1533-position model. The record is from RNAcentral.
UACGUAGGUGACAAGCGUUGUCCGGAUUUACUGGGCGUAAAGAGCGCGCAGGCGGUCGUUCAAGUCGCGUGUGAAAGCCCCCGGCUCAACUGGGGAGGGUCACGCGAUACUGCUCGACUUGAAGGCAGGAGAGGGAAGUGGAAUUCCCGGUGUAGUGGUGAAAUGCGUAGAUAUCGGGAGGAACACCCGUGGCGAAGGCGGCUCUCUGGGACGGUACUGACGCUGAGACGCGAAAGCGUGGGGAGCGAACAGG